Molecule: long non-coding RNA, 1288 nt
Filed under: Oryctolagus cuniculus (rabbit)
Lineage: Eukaryota; Metazoa; Chordata; Mammalia; Lagomorpha; Leporidae
Description: lncRNA (ENSOCUG00000038811.1)
Source: RNAcentral
AUGGCCCGGAGCCUGACUGUGGACAGGACAGAGACGUUCGUCCCCACGAGGCGGUAUUUCAGGCUCACGAGCUUGGCUAUGUGGCAGACGCCGAGCCACGGGUGCUGGUUCCACAGUGACCUGCGGCUGGUGGCAGUUCCGCCCUCCCUGGGAGUGUUUCGGGACAGACCCACGGGGACACCGCACAGACCGGCACCUUGCUCGUGCACAGGGCGGACUCCAGGCGCAUUCACGGAGGGCUCACUCCCGCCCUGCAGAGCCGCAGGCAGAGGCCGGGCUCGGCACACGAGGUGGGGUGAAGGCCACAGCUGCACAGACCCAAGGGAAGGACAUGACAGAUGGGGGCUCUGUCACGCCCCCACGCCCCUGUGCACUGCAGGACGGGCUGUCCACGCCCCUGUGCACUGCAGGACGGGCUGUCCACGCCCCCACGCCCCUGUGCACUGCAGGACGGGCUGUCCACGCCCCUGUGCACUGCAGGACGGGGCUGUCCACGCCCAUGUGCACUGCAGGACGGGCUGUCCGUGCCCCUGUGCACUGCAGGACGGGCUGUCCGUGCCCCUGUGCACUGCAGGACGGGGCUGUCCGUGCCCCUGUGCACUGCAGGACGGGCUGUCCACGCCCCUGUGCACUGCAGGACGGGGCUGUCCGUGCCCCUGUGCACUGCAGGACGGGGCUGUCCGUGCCCCUGUGCACUGCAGGACGGGGCUGUCCGUGCCCCUGUGCACUGCAGGACGGGGCUGUCCACGCCCCUGUGCACUGCAGGACGGGGCUGUCCACGCCCAUGUGCACUGCAGGACGGGCUGUCCGUGCCCCUGUGCACUGCAGGACGGGCUGUCCACGCCCCUGUGCACUGCAGGACGGGCUGUCCACGCCCCUGUGCACUGCAGGACGGGCUGUCCACGCCCCUGUGCACUGCAGGACGGGCUGUCCACGCCCCUGUGCACUGCAGGACGGGCUGUCCACGCCCCUGUGCACUGCAGGACGGGCUGUCCACGCCCCCACGCCCCUGUGCACUGCAGGACGGGGCUGUCCGUGCCCCUGUGCACUGCAGGACGGGCUGUCCACGCCCCUGUGCACUGCAGGACGGGGCUGUCCACGCCCCUGUGCACUGCAGGACGGGCUGUCCACGCCCCCACGCCCCUGUGCACUGCAGGACGGGGCUGUCCACGCCCCUGUGCACUGCAGGACGGGCUGUCCGUGCCCCUGUGCACUGCAGGACGGGCUGUCCACGCCCCUGUGCCCUGCAGGACGGGGCUGUCCGUGCCCCUGUGCACUGCAGGACGGG